UACGGGGGGAGCAAGCGUUGUUCGGAUUUACUGGGCGUAAAGGGCGCGUAGGCGGCCACCGCAAGUCGACUGUGAAAUCUCCGGGCUUAACUCGGAAAGGUCAACUGAUACUGUGCGGCUAGAGUGCGGAAGGGGCAACUGGAAUUCUUGGUGUAGCGGUGAAAUGCGUAGAUAUCAAGAGGAACACCUGCGGCGAAGGCGGGUUGCUGGGCCGACACUGACGCUGAGGCGCGAAAGCCAGGGGAGCGAACGGG
RNAcentral lists this ribosomal RNA (254 nucleotides) under uncultured bacterium. RNAcentral describes it as "partial 16S ribosomal RNA". It matches the Rfam family "Bacterial small subunit ribosomal RNA", at positions 524 to 776 of the family's 1533-position model. The record is from RNAcentral.